RNAcentral lists this non-coding RNA (31 nucleotides) under Mus musculus (house mouse). The record is from RNAcentral. Lineage: Eukaryota; Metazoa; Chordata; Mammalia; Rodentia; Muridae.
CCAGAGAUUGGAUUCUUGGUCUGUGUGCUUA